UUCCAGGAGCUGGGUUUCAUUGUUAUCCCUCCUGGACCAGGAGCCACCUACCAGGUCUCUCCAUAGGUCCUUUGCGGGAUUCUUUCUAAAGCACAUUUGCUUGCUCUGCCGUCUUGCCUGAGUGAAGAACCGCCAUCGUGAACAGAAUUGAAUUCCUGGAGGAGGGCGGCUGGCUCCAGUUCCGCCAGGUCUGGAGAGCAACGCUGAGACCAGCAGGUGGAGACCGUGGGGAGCCUAACAUCCUAAUGUCAGCUCGCCUCGGGGAGCACUUUCCCCCAUGGGAAGCUCACCAAGAACAGAAAUACCAGCUUGCCUUGGGAGAGACUUCACAAUGACUCUUCAUGGCUACAAAAUCCCAGCAUGUUCCUUUGCCAAACCAAUCCUUCAUUGCCGAUAUAGGAGAGACUUUCAAUCUUGAGCUAUGCUUUGAGGCCAGAGCCAGAUAAAGCAGGAACUCGAUACGUGUUUGUUUUCUGACUGAUUGUGAAGGAGACUUCAAGAGCAUAAGGUACAGGAUUACUGGUAGCAGUGACAUCCACCCUGCGCAGUUCCCAUGGGAAAUGAAGUCACUCCCUUUUCUAAGUCCUGCCUAGGGAAUGAGAGGCUCUGUGGGAAAGUCUACAGCCGUGGCACUGCCAACAUGAGUUUAUCUAUCAAGAGGAAGCUCAGACAUUCCCAGUGGCAUCUUUGCAGGAUGAAGGACUUCAAGAGGCUCAGAUGCUGCUGUUGCUGCCUCUCUCAUUACAGGCUGAACUCAAGACAGGCCUGUGAGGCCCCCAACAGGAGCCAAGAUGAGUUUUAAACACAAAAGAGGUGGCUUCCUCUUUUGUCACUCUGGAGAGUGACAGAUGUCACACAUGCCAAGUGUCCUGUGCAGGUUUCCAUUCUCAUUCAUACUCCCAAGGCUGUUCAUUUCCUUCCCAGCCAACUGCCCUCUGUCCUUUAUGCUCCUUUCCAUUUGUCACCCCAUGUGCCCUUGGCACAUUCUUACGGUCACUGAGGAAACAGCAGCCUUCCCUGAUUAUAGUAUGGAAAAGCCAAUCCUGACAAUUACAGAAAGUGGUACUGACAGUGAAAAGGAGAAGAGUUAUUGCAUGGUGAGUGUUUGACACCUUCCUGGAGCCCACCUCUCUGAAAAGGAGGAUCACUGACUCGUGUGGCCAAUGGCAGACACUGUUCAUUUUCUCUCUACUUCAAGUCUCUCCUCUGAGUCUACUAUAAAAAUACCACCAAAUUUUAAAUGGGCACAGAACCACUUGGAAUAAAGACCACAUUUCCCAGUCUCUUCUGAGACCAAGUAUGGCCACGUGACCACACUCUGGUCAUGAGAUCCAAGCAGAAGUGGUUUGUUCAACUCCUUUGUUUUCUUUUUUUUUCAUAUAUAUAUAUUUUUUUGGUACCAGGGAUCGAACUCAGGUCCUUGCGCUUGCGCAGGAGGCGGCGAAACCACUGAGCUAAAUCCCUGGCUCCUUUUUUCAUAUUUUUAAAACAUGGAACUACAUUUGUCCCUCAGUGUCUAUGGGGGGAAUGGUGUUCCAGAACACCUGCCCACCUCAGAGAUACCAAAAUUCACAGAUGCUUGUGUCCUUUCUAUAAAGUGGUGUAGUAUUUGCAUAGCUUAUAUAUAUCCUCCCUGUGUGCUUUAAAUAAUCUCUAAUGACUUAUAGAACUUAAUACAAUGUAAAGCCAUAUAAUAGUUGUUAUACUGUAUUAUUUAGGGAAUAAUAACAAGAAAAAUGUACAUAUUGAGUACAGAUGAAAUUUUAAAAAAUCAAUAUGUAUGCUGGGGAUUGCACCCAGGCAUAGUAGGCAAGGAUUCUGACUACUGAGUUACAACCCCAUGCAUUUUAAGUUUAAUUUAAUUAAUUUAUUUUAUUGGUAUGUUUGCAGUACAUGAUAUUUAUGUUCAUUUUGGAGUAUUUUCAUUCUCUUAGAAAAGUGAUUGCUGAAUUAGUGGGUAGAAGUAUGUUUAACUUUGUAAGACAUUGCCAAAGAGUUUUCUUAAGUGGCUGUCCUAUUUUACGCACUAUCAGCAACAUGCAAGAGUUUCAGUUGCUUUGUGUCCUUACUGACAUUUAAUAUUAUUGGUCUUUCUAAUUUUAUAUACUCUAGUGGAUGUAUAUUGACAUCUUAUUGGUAUAUAUUGCAGUUUUCAUUUCCAUUUCUCAGUUGACUGUUGACUAGUGAUGUUCAACAUUUUCAUGUGCUUAUUGCCAUUCAUAUUCUUACAUGUGGUGUCUGUUUAAAUGUUUGCUCAUUGUAAAAUUGGGCUGCUUGUGGUUUUCAAAAAGCUUUUUUAUUGAGUCAUAAUUUACAUGUCACAUGACACAUUUCUAAGUAUGGAAUCCAGAGUUUUCACAGAUUCAUAUGCCUGUUUAACCACCACCUUGAACAGCAUAGACAUUUCUCUUAUUUCCAAAGGUGCUCUAAAUGACUCUUCGGAGCCAAUCUUCAUCUUUUUGUUUUGACUCCUGACUUCAACCAGCCACUGAUGUGUUUUUGUCAUUAUAAUUUUGCCUUUUGUAGAAUUUCUCAUAAAUAGAAUUAUAUAGUAUGUAUUCUUUUGUAUCUAGCUUUUCCACUUAACAUAUUGUUUUUGAGAUCUAUCCACAUAAUUGUGUGUAUCACUAAUGGUUUAUUUUAAUAGGUAACAUUUCAUUAUAUGGAAGUGCUACAAUGUAAUUAUUCAUCUGUUAGCUGAUAAAUGGCACAAAUGGUGGGUUGGUUCCAGUUUGGAUUUAUU
RNAcentral lists this long non-coding RNA (2743 nucleotides) under Heterocephalus glaber (naked mole-rat). Its description in RNAcentral is "lncRNA (ENSHGLG00100038161.1)". The record is from RNAcentral. Lineage: Eukaryota; Metazoa; Chordata; Mammalia; Rodentia; Bathyergidae.